AGCCAUGCCGCGUGGGUGAAGAAGGCCUUCGGGUUGUAAAGCCCUUUUGUUGGGAAAGAAAUCCAGCCGGCUAAUACCUGGUUGGGAUGACGGUACCCAAAGAAUAAGCACCGGCUAACUUCGUGCCAGCAGCCGCGGUAAUACGAAGGGUGCAAGCGUUACUCGGAAUUACUGGGCGUAAAGCGUGCGUAGGUGGUUAUUUAAGUCCGUUGUGAAAGCCCUGGGCUCAACCUGGGAACUGCAGUGGAUACUGGAUGACUAGAAUGUGGUAGAGGGUAGCGGAAUUCCUGGUGUAGCAGUGAAAUGCGUAGAGAUCAGGAGGAACAUCCAUGGCGAAGGCAGCUACCUGGACCAACAUUGACACUGAGGCACGAAAGCGUGGGGAGCAAACAGGAUUAGAUACCCUGGUAGUCCACGCCCUAAACGAUGCGAACUGGAUGUUGGGUGCAAUUUGGCACGCAGUAUCGAAGCUAACGCGUUAAGUUCGCCGCCUGGGGAGUACGGUCGCAAGACUGAAACUCAAAGGAAUUGACGGA
RNAcentral lists this ribosomal RNA (536 nucleotides) under uncultured bacterium. RNAcentral's name for it is "bacterial SSU rRNA". It matches the Rfam family "Bacterial small subunit ribosomal RNA", at positions 390 to 917 of the family's 1533-position model. The record is from RNAcentral.